Molecule: long non-coding RNA, 276 nt
Filed under: Bos taurus (domestic cattle)
Lineage: Eukaryota; Metazoa; Chordata; Mammalia; Artiodactyla; Bovidae
Description: long non-coding RNA NONBTAT021571
Source: RNAcentral
ACCAACAGUGUUAGCUCCUCGGCACUUAAGUCAGCACUUGAAGUCCUGUGUCCAGUUAGAUGACUGAAGGGACAGUAACAGCAGGGGACAAGUGUUUGGAGGUGUCAGUCCGGUGUUAUGUGGCCUGUAGUGUCUCAGAGGGAAGGAGGAAGACCAGGGCAUUUUUGUGAGGGAGGUAUUGUGUGACAGGCACCUCUUCGGUUAGCUCAGAACAUUCCCAUCGCACUUGGAAAGGUAGGUGGUGUUACAGUGUCGUUCAGAUGAAUGAGAGAUCCU